AUCCAGCUGGCGAGUCCCACAUAGGACGAAACGUGCGUCCUGUAU
Schistosoma margrebowiei is the source of this 45-nucleotide non-coding RNA. The record is from Rfam. Lineage: Eukaryota; Metazoa; Platyhelminthes; Trematoda; Strigeidida; Schistosomatidae.